CAUGCAAGUCGAACGGAAGUUUAAGCAAUUAAACUUUAGUGGCGAACGGGUGAGUAACGCGUAAGCAAUCUGCCCCUAAGACGAGGAUAACAGUUGGAAACGACUGCUAAGACUGGAUAGGAGACAAGAAGGCAUCUUCUUGUUUUUAAAAGACCUAGCAAUAGGUAUGCUUAGGGAGGAGCUCGCGUCACAUUAGUUAGUUGGUGGGGUAAAGGCCUACCAAGACUAUGAUGUGUAGCCGGGCUGAGAGGUUGAACGGCCACAUUGGGACUGAGACACGGCCCAAACUCCUACGGGAGGCAGCAGUAGGGAAUUUUCGGCAAUGGAGGAAACUCUGACCGAGCAACGCCGCGUGAACGAUGAAGUAUUUCGGUACGUAAAGUUCUUUUAUUAGGGAAGAAUAAAUGAUGGAAAAAUCAUUCUGACGGUACCUAAUGAAUAAGCCCCGGCUAACUAUGUGCCAGCAGCCGCGGUAAUACAUAGGGGGCAAGCGUUAUCCGGAAUUAUUGGGCGUAAAGGGUGCGUAGGCGGUUAAAUAAGUUUAUGGUCUAAGUGCAAUGCUCAACAUUGUGAUGCUAUAAAAACUGUUUAGCUAGAGUAAGAUAGAGGCAAGUGGAAUUCCAUGUGUAGUGGUAAAAUGCGUAAAUAUAUGGAGGAACACCAGUAGCGAAGGCGGCUUGCUGGGUCUUUACUGACGCUGAGGCACGAAAGCGUGGGGAGCAAACAGGAUUAGAUACCCUGGUAGUCCACGCCGUAAACGAUGAGUACUAAACGUUGGGUAAAACCAGUGUUGAAGUUAACACAUUAAGUACUCCGCCUGAGUAGUACGUACGCAAGUAUGAAACUUAAAGGAAUUGACGGGACUCCGCACAAGCGGUGGAUCAUGUUGUUUAAUUCGAAGGUACCCGAAAAACCUCACCAGGUCUUGACAUGCUUCUGCAAAGCUGUAGAAACACAGUGGAGGUUAUCAGUUGCACAGGUGGUGCAUGGUUGUCGUCAGCUCGUGUCGUGAGAUGUUGGGUUAAGUCCCGCAACGAGCGCAACCCUUAUUGUUAGUUACCAGCACGUAAUGGUGGGGACUUUAGCAAGACUGCCAGUGAUAAAUUGGAGGAAGGUGGGGACGACGUCAAAUCAUCAUGCCCCUUAUGACCUGGGCUACAAACGUGAUACAAUGGCUGUUACAAAGGGUAGCUGAAGCGCAAGUUUUUGGCGAAUCUCAAAAAAACAGUCUCAGUUCGGAUUGAAGUCUGCAACUCGACUUCAUGAAGUUGGAAUCGCUAGUAAUCGCGAAUCAGCAUGUCGCGGUGAAUACGUUCUCGGGGUUUGUACACACCGCCCGUCAAACCACGAAAGUUGGCAAUACCCAAAGCCGGUGGCCUAACUUCGCAAGAAGAGGGAACCGUCUAAGGUAGGGUCGAUGAUUGGGGUUAAG
This 1432-nucleotide ribosomal RNA is filed under the name 'Dodonaea viscosa' witches'-broom phytoplasma. RNAcentral describes it as "bacterial SSU rRNA". It matches the Rfam family "Bacterial small subunit ribosomal RNA". The record is from RNAcentral. Lineage: Bacteria; Bacillati; Mycoplasmatota; Mollicutes; Acholeplasmatales; Acholeplasmataceae.